CCUACGGGUGGCAGCAGUGAGGAAUAUUGGUCAAUGGACGCAAGUCUGAACCAGCCAUGCCGCGUGCAGGAAGACGGCUCUAUGAGUUGUAAACUGCUUUUGUACGAGGGUAAACGCAGAUACGCGUAUCUGUCUGAAAGUAUCGUACGAAUAAGGAUCGGCUAACUCCGUGCCAGCAGCCGCGGUAAUACGGAGGAUUCAAGCGUUAUCCGGAUUUAUUGGGUUUAAAGGGUGCGUAGGCGGUCGGAUAAGUUAGAGGUGAAAUCCCGAGGCUCAACUUCGGAAUUGCCUCUGAUAGUGUUCGGCGAGAGAGUAGUUGCGGUAGGCAGAAUGUAUGGUUGAGCGGUGAAAUGCUUAGAGAUCAUACAGAACACCGAGUGCGAAGGCAGCUUACCAAGCUACUUCUGACGUUGAGGCACGAAAGCGUGGGGAGCAAACAGGAUUAGAUACCCGGGUAGUC
RNAcentral lists this ribosomal RNA (460 nucleotides) under uncultured bacterium. Its description in RNAcentral is "partial 16S ribosomal RNA". It matches the Rfam family "Bacterial small subunit ribosomal RNA", at positions 338 to 795 of the family's 1533-position model. The record is from RNAcentral.